RNAcentral lists this ribosomal RNA (367 nucleotides) under Brahmina sedakovi. Its description in RNAcentral is "partial 16S ribosomal RNA". The record is from RNAcentral. Lineage: Eukaryota; Metazoa; Arthropoda; Insecta; Coleoptera; Scarabaeidae.
ACCGUGCAAAGGUAGCAUAAUCAUUAGUUUUUUAAUUGAAAGCUGGUAUGAAUGGUUGGACGAGAGAGCGACUGUCUCAAUUUAAUUGUAGUAGAAUUUUAUUUUUAAGUUAAAAAGCUUAAAUGAGUUUAAAAGACGAGAAGACCCUAUAGAGUUUUAUAUAUAUAUAUACAUAUAUAGGUUAGUAUUAAUAGGUAGAUGUGUAUAUGUGUAUUUUGUUGGGGUGACAAAAAAACUGAAUUAACUUUUUUUUAUAGUAUAACAUAUAUAUAUGAUUUCAUGAUCCGUUAUUAACGAUUAUAAGAUUAAAUUACCUUAGGGAUAACAGCGUAAUUUUUUUUGAGAGUUCUAAUCGAAAAGAGAGUUU